RNAcentral lists this ribosomal RNA (497 nucleotides) under uncultured bacterium. RNAcentral describes it as "partial 16S ribosomal RNA". It matches the Rfam family "Bacterial small subunit ribosomal RNA", at positions 28 to 507 of the family's 1533-position model. The record is from RNAcentral.
GAUGAACGCUGGCGGCGUGCCUAAUACAUGCAAGUCGAGCGAACAGACGAGGAGCUUGCUCCUCUGACGUUAGCGGCGGACGGGUGAGUAACACGUGGAUAACCUACCUAUAAGACUGGGAUAACUUCGGGAAACCGGAGCUAAUACCGGAUAAUAUAUUGAACCGCAUGGUUCAAUAGUGAAAGACGGUUUUGCUGUCACUUAUAGAUGGAUCCGCGCCGCAUUAGCUAGUUGGUAAGGUAACGGCUUACCAAGGCAACGAUGCGUAGCCGACCUGAGAGGGUGAUCAGCCACACUGGAACUGAGACACGGUCCAGACUCCUACGGGAGGCAGCAGUGGGGAAUAUUCCGCAAUGGGCGAAAGCCUGACGGAGCAACACCGCGUGAGUGAAGAAGGUCUUCGGGUUGUAAAACCCUGUUAUUAGGGAAGAAAAAAAGUGUAAGUAAAUAUGGACGUUUUGACGGUACCUAAACAGAAAGCCACGGCUAACUACGUG